AUUUAUACAAUACAAUACUAUAGGAUAUCCUUUAGGAAACAAAAUGAAAUAGAGAGAAACUGUAAAACAGUAUGUUAUCCGACAGAUACACUGGAUGUUUAGAUAAUAACGUUCUAUUUUAUUUUCUUAUUUAUUUUCUAUUUCACUUGGAAAAUCACAAAAUAGAAAAUUGGCUCCAGUUUUUCAAAUUUUCCUAUUUAAAUAUAAGCUACUUGCAAUUUCUCUAUAAAAUGAACAUCUUAUAAUCAAACAAUGAGCACUACUACUUAAUUGAAUUAUAAUCUUGGUCUUACAGCUCAUUUGAAACAUUGAUGCUAUAUUAUAUCAAUAUCACUAUAUUUGUGACUAAUUUUUAAAGUUUUAAGUCUUCAGUAGAAAUGAAUGGACUUGGGGCUGAGAGCCACAGACAGGGUGAGGAGGUCGGAAAGUACUGAAAGACAGACUAACUAACACAUUGCUGGUUAGUCAGAUAAACAAUCCUACCUCUGGAUUUAUAAAAUAAAAUGUGACCCAUAUAAUGAUGAAAUAUUACAUUUGUAUCACACUUAACGGAGCACUUGUCCCUAUAACACUAUACAUGGUGAACAAUAUACAUUUUUGUUAAAUAAGCAAUAGAUUUCUCUCCUUAAAGGUUCUAUAUGUAGAAUUUUGAAGCAAUUUACAUGUAUUAAUCAUUUCUUAUUGCCAAUUAGUGAACAAGUAGUAAUGUAACGUAAAAAUGAGACCUUUCCCAACUUUCUCUGUUGUCUGUAACAGCCUGUGGACUGAUUUCUAUGUGAAGGACUCGGGCUACAUUUCCUGCAAAAAUCCAAUGGAAGUGACGUUUUUUCACGCUCCUGAGUGCCUUGCCUCUCUCCCGCUGAUGUCAACAAACGACCUGCAACGACCGACGCAACAAAAAUGGUGCUAUGCAACUAGAAACACCCUGCAGAUAUUAGCUCUCCAGCUAAUGAGACGACUAGCUGCAUCUAUCAACCACUACACAUUUCACAACAAAACACCCCCGCAAUGACAAGUCGCCCACUCCCGAGCACACAAAGGAAAAACAUUAUUUCCUCAACAAAGGAGCAGAAAACAAGCUCCAGAGCGAUAGCAGAACAUAGGUUACCCCUUUUGUUUUCCAGUUGGUAGUCCACAGGUCGUAAUAAGCGCACCAACAACAGCUCACUGAGCUCACCUUUGUAAAAAGGGGCGUUUUUGAAAUAUUUUGGAGGAACUUUCACUGCACCACCAUCUACCUCAUCAGCUGACAUGACUGCUGCUGAGGGGACAUCGUCAGAGACUUCGGGGGCAUCUACUCCCUCCUCUGAUGUGACUGCAGCUGCAGAGGUCAUAACAGAGGUACCUGACAGACCUAACAGAGUACAUGACUGCGUCUGCAGUGUUUGAAACACUUGGACAAGUUAAAAGCAAGUUUGGGGUACUGAUAAACUUCCCAAUCUUGGAAGAUGAAGCACUGGAGAAACAAUGUGAGGAACUUGAGAACGCACUAAGGAGUGAAGAGGAAGCCAACAUUUAUGGGAGAGAACUGGCCAUGGAAAUCAGAAACUCUUCUCAGUUAGAAACAGGAUGUCUGUAUUUGAACUGCUGGACUUUGUCCAGAAGAAGAAACUGACAGAAUUGUAUCCAAAUCUUUGUCUAUCCGCGAGGAUUGCCCGUAUCCUGCCAGUGACUUUUGUAGUGUUCACUUUAUUUAGCAUAUUUUGCACUCUUAUAUUGAGUUUUCAUUGCUAUUUAUUUGGCUAAAUAUUUUUGGUUUUAUCGGUGUUCAUUUGUCAUUGUCUUUUUUUAUAGACCUUGUUAUGUGCAAGUUUGUUGCUUUGUAUUGUUUAAAUAUAUUGACUUUAUUAUUUAUUAUUUUGAAUACUUUGUAAUUGUUAAUUGUAUCUUAACUUCUCAAAUUUUAAUAUAUUUUUAAUAGACAUUGUUUUGUUCGUGUUCAUUGAGUUAUGAGCAUUGUGUGUGAUUUGGUGGUUGUGCUGUGAGUGUUUUGGGGCCACAAACAAAAUCUUGUUUAGGGCCACCAAGAUCCUAGGGCCGGCCAUGUGGCAAGGGCUUAAAUGUAAAGGACGCUCAUUUAUAUGUCAAAGUCCUGCACUGUAGUGUGAGUAGCGAGCCACACAGAAAGUCACACUGAUUGUGUGGCCCCCCCUAGCGGUUGUGGCUCCAAACAACCGCAUAGAGUGUUUAUGCCAGGGGUCGGCCCUGCAAAGGACCACAGUGGGAAAUAAGCUGAUGAUUAAUGUUCAUCUUUCUUAUAAAUAAAUAAAUUCAAUUUGUAUGAUGA
Long non-coding RNA from Thunnus maccoyii (southern bluefin tuna), 2287 nucleotides. RefSeq lists it as uncharacterized. The transcript is spliced from 2 exons. The record is from RefSeq and is a predicted model, not a curated record. NCBI's taxonomy places the organism in Eukaryota, Metazoa, Chordata, Actinopteri, Scombriformes, Scombridae.